CAAAAACAUUUUUUAACGAAUUUUAUAUUAAAUACAGCCUGCUCCCUGCCCUAUAAAGAGCCGCAGAAAAUUUACUGUGCUAAGGUAGCAUAAUCACUUGUCUUUUAAUUAAAGACUAGAAUGAAAGGCAUUACACUUAGUUAACUUAUCUUAAUCAUACCUCUCUAACUUUCAAUAAAAAUUAAAAUAUUUUUAUAUUAGUAAAAGACGACAAGACCCUUUCGAACUUUACUGAAGUUAAGCUGGGGAAGCUAAUUAAUAAUAAUCUUAACCUAUUCAUUUUAAUAAAAAUCCUUACUAAAGAACAAAUCAAGUUACCGAAGGGAUAACAGCGUUAUACUUUUUUAAAGCUCAUAUUAAUAAAUUUAUAUACGACCUCGAUGUUGAAUUAAUUUUACUCCCUUGUGCAAGAACAAAAACAGUAAGUCUGUUCGACUUUUAAAAAAUUACAUGAUCUGAGUUCAAACCGG
This 470-nucleotide ribosomal RNA is filed under the name Nesticella aelleni. Its description in RNAcentral is "partial 16S ribosomal RNA". It matches the Rfam family "Bacterial large subunit ribosomal RNA", at positions 1808 to 2619 of the family's 2925-position model. Lineage: Eukaryota; Metazoa; Arthropoda; Arachnida; Araneae; Nesticidae. The record is from RNAcentral.